Molecule: unclassified non-coding RNA, 401 nt
Filed under: soil metagenome
Description: partial contains 5.8S ribosomal RNA, internal transcribed spacer 2, and large subunit ribosomal RNA
Rfam family: 5.8S ribosomal RNA (bases 1-121)
Source: RNAcentral
GAUGAAGAACGUAGCGAAAUGCGAUAAGUAAUGUGAAUUGCAGAAUUCAGUGAAUCAUCGAAUCUUUGAACGCACCUUGCGCCCCUUGGUUAUUCCAAAGGGCAUGCCUGUUUGAGUAUCAUGAACACCUCAACUCUUGUGGUUUCCCACAAUGAGCUUGGACUGUGGAGGUUUUGUUGGCCCUGUGGUCAGCUCCUCUCAAAUGGAUCAGCUUACCGGUGUUUGGUGGCAUUACGGGUGUGAUAACUAUCUACGCUCGUAGUCGUCUCCAAAUAACCUCCAGUGAUGGGGGUUCGCUGGAGCUUAUAAAUGUCUCUCCCCAGUGAAGACAGCCUUUGAACGUUCGAUCUCAAAUCAGGUAGGACUACCCGCUGAACUUAAGCAUAUCAAUAAGCGGAGGA